Molecule: ribosomal RNA, 301 nt
Filed under: uncultured bacterium
Lineage: Bacteria
Description: partial 16S ribosomal RNA
Rfam family: Bacterial small subunit ribosomal RNA
Source: RNAcentral
CAGUAGCCGCGGUAAUACGUAGGUGGCAAGCGUUGUCCGGAAUUAUUGGGCGUAAAGGGCUCGCAGGCGGUUUCUUAAGUCUGAUGUGAAAGCCCCCGGCUCAACCGGGGAGGGUCAUUGGAAACUGGGAAACUUGAGUGCAGAAGAGGAGAGUGGAAUUCUCGGAGUAGCGGUAAAAUGCGUAGAUCUCGAGAGGAACACCAAUGGCGAAGGCAGCUUCUUGGUCCAUUCCUGACGUUCAUACACGAAAGCGUGGGGAGCAAACAGGAUUAGAUACCCCCGUAGUCCCUGUCUCUUAUAC